GGCCAUCAUAUCCCUCUAACGCACCCCUUUUUUUUUCCUCCUUCAUGAAAACAACCACAUAUAAAUAGUUCCACGUUCUAUCUUAAUUCCUUCUUUCUCAAAACACAACAACCUUUUCAUCCCAACACAGACGUAUCUCAAUCCAUAUGUCUCUGACAGGCCGUCCUCGUAUUGUUGUUAACGGGGUUCGAAGAACGAGAACUUUUCACUAUUUCUGGUGCCUAUAUUGCCAGAGAACCGUGAGGUUACCCUUUACAAACAAUGAUGGUUCUACGUGCCCCUAUUGCUUCCACCAACUGCGUUAUGAGCUUGAUAUCUCAAGGCCAAGGCUUCUCAUGAACGUGCCAAAUAACUUGGAGCCUUCACAAGCCACUCAACUAAUGCAUAACUUGGCUCUCAUUCUUGAUCCACCUCUUAGGAGGCAAAACAACAACCAUUUGAACACAACCCCACAUUGGGAAACUGAAAAUGAAGAUGGUUUAAAUCCUCAGGCUUGGAUUACACUCCGAUUUCCAAGGCCAACUCGUCCUCCUAGGCCUAUUUCCCCACCACAAAAUUUGGUUCCCCAGACCAAUGACACUGAUCAUGACACCCUUUUUGAGAACACAAUAUUAGAUGACUUCAUUGAUGGGGUGAUUCAGAACAAUAAUAGACCGGGGCCACCUCCAGCAACAUCUUCAGCCAUUGCAGCAUUGCCGAUGGUGAAAUUGACACAAACCCAUUUGGCAAGUGACCCCAAUUGCCCAAUUUGCAAAGAUGAGUUCGAGCUUGAUAUGGAAGCCAGAGAGUUGCCAUGCAAGCAUUUCUACCAUUCUGACUGCAUCAUCCCUUGGCUGCGCAUGCACAACACUUGCCCUGUGUGCCGCUAUGAGCUACAAGGUGUUAGUACUAGUGGUAAUGCUAAUUACUACCGUUUACAAAAUGAUGAGAAUGACAUGAGGUUUGGGUUUGAGGAUGCUGCAAGCAGCUUGGUCUGGGUUUGGAACCAAUUGACUUCGUUUAGGCCUAUCCGUUCUGUUCUAGAUUGGACACGGUCCUACUUUAAUUUCCAAGAAGAUCAUGUUCGUGGUCGUAGAGGUAGCUCUUGGUGGCGAGCAUUGUUUGUUAUAUAGCUUCAUCUGUGAGAUCUCUCGUACUCAUGAAACCUGGCUUAUCAUAUUAGAAUUAUUCCACUUGAUUAAUAUUAAGCAGGUAAAAGGUGGACAGCAACUCAUUUCAAGAACACGGAUGGAAUUGAUACAGAAGUUCUCAUAGGCUACUUCUGGUGCAUGUGCCCACAAGUUAUGACUGAAAAAAACAUUAUUUAUUGGUGAAGAACUACAUUUCAAAAUGAGAUCUUCACUUGUGUCCUAAUUUUAUUUAUUCUUUACUGUCCCUCUCUUGUCUAUAUAAAUACAUAGCUUUUACUUUCUUUGCCCAUAAAUCUCUUGAAUGUGAAUGUUUGCGGUAAUUCCUUUGCUAAUGUGAGGAUGCCACAUAUUUCUUUGGGGCAUUUUAUAUAUGCAAAUUAUUAUGAUUUCAUUAAAAUUAUGAAGCUAAAAUAAGAAGGCAAAAAGAAUGUAGCCUAGCAAGAAAAAGCCAUUUGAUAUAAAUUAAUUGAGAAAAAAUCGAUUAUAUAAUUUGUCUGUAUACGUAUAAAAAAACUACACUGCACAUAUGAUAAAAAUAAUAAUUAUUAGACUGCUUUCUAUGUUGUGUGAAAUGAUAUGAUGAGAUCAUUCAUGCAUAUAGUGCAUAUAUCUACACAUUUUUUAGGUUCUCUUUUUUUUUUUCUUACGGAUAUUAUUAGCUAGUAAAGUUUAUUUAUUUUAUUUGAAAAUUCUCACAAAAAAUGUAAGCAAUCUUUAUUCAGUUUAUUGUAAGUAAACCUUUAUUAAAUUCUUAAGACAGAAAAGAGAGAGAGGAAGCAACAUAAUUGAGUAGUGGUGACUAGUCUGUUCUCUGUGGAAAAGUUGUUGUGUGAAGAGAAGCGAAUGGUAGGAUUGAAUGUGUCUCAGCCAUUUUUGUCACCGAUUUGCAAGACGGCACCUUACCCACUUGAUCUCAUAGCCACCGCCGCGUGCCUCCACUUCGGCCACCUUCUCCGCCGCCGCGCCACCCACCAUCCCCGCCUUGGGGUUCUUCUUCACUCCUGUUUCAAGUUAUCUUAUGGGAACCGAUUGAAAUGGAGGUCACAAGUAUCAUGUCGUUUAAGAAGAUUGAAGGAUUAGUGGUGUCAGAGAUGCCUUCAACUCAAUGGGUUGAACUAUCUUCAACUAUCAACUGGCGAUUUGACUUCCUCAUGUUCAACUAGUUUCUCCUUCUUUAAUGGGGGAGGAGAUGGAGGCCGCUUUGGAAAGGCUGGGAUUUCCAACUCCAAGAUGUCUGGUAAAGAUCCAUUUAAUGGAAGGAAAUGGACAGAAAUUCUCCUUGCUGCCAAUGUUUUGUAAGUAUUAGCAUAUUCCCUUGAAUAGUCAAUCAAGUUUAUGACUUCAAUGUGUGCAUUUUUCUGUAAGCCUGUAAAUUCAAGCAGUUUGUACGAUCGUUUUUGGUUCUGUAUGUUGCUGUUUCUGUUUUACUAGCUGAUCUUAUUGUUGUUGCAAAUUUACAUACAACUUGGUAAGAUUGCUUAUUGUUUACUGAUUAUUUGCACAAAUUUUAUAUUGCACAACUUGCAACCCAAGGCAAGCUAUUAUUGUGGGGAGCAAAGGUAACUUUGCAAUUAACAAUCUGAAUACAUGUCCGAAACGUUGUGGAGUCUUUACUUGUGUGCUCUGUAUGUUAACAGAUAAAUAGUCUAAUUGAAAAAGGACAACUUUGGAGA
This is an RNA transcript of Glycine soja, 2803 nucleotides long. It is a transcript of the gene named RHOMBOID-like protein 10, chloroplastic, with no coding region annotated. Lineage: Eukaryota; Viridiplantae; Streptophyta; Magnoliopsida; Fabales; Fabaceae. The transcript is spliced from 4 exons. The record is from RefSeq and is a predicted model, not a curated record.